CAAGUCGUACGGUAAGCUUCGGCUUAUAGUGGCGAAAGGGAGAGUAACGCGUGGUUACAUGCCCUCGGGACCGGGAUAGCGGCGGGAAACUGCCGGUAAUACCGGAUAAUAUCUUUGGAUCAAAGGUGUGAUUCCGCCCGAGGAUUGGACCGCGUUCUAUUAGCUUGUUGGCGGGGUAAUGGCCCACCAAGGCGACGAUGGAUACCGGGUGUGAGAGCAUGGCCCGGCUCACUGGGACUGAGACACUGCCCAGACACCUACGGGUGGCUGCAGUCGAGAAUCUUCGGCAAUGGGGGCAACCCUGACCGAGCGACGCCGCGUGCGGGACGAAGGCCUUCGGGUUGUAAACCGCUGUCAGUUGGGAGGAAGUGCCGGGGGGUUCUCCCCUCGGUUUGACCGAUCUUCAGAGGAAGGACGGGCUAAGUUCGCGCCAGCAGCCGCGGUAAGACGAACCGUCCAAACGUUAUUCGGUAUCACUGGGCUUAAAGCGUGCGUAGGCGGCCUGGUAGGUGAGGUGUGAAAGCCCACGGCUCAACCGUGGAAUUGCGCUUCAAACCACCAGGCUGGAGGAUGGCAGGGGUGAUGGGAACUGAUGGUGGAGCGGUGAAAUGCGUUGAUAUCAUCAGGAACACCGGUGGCGAAGGCGCAUCACUGGGCCAUUUCUGACGCUGAGGCACGAAAGCUAGGGUAGCGAACGGGAUUAGAUACCCCGGUAGUCCUAGCUGUAAACGAUGAGCACUGGGUUGAGGGGACCUCCACAUCUUCUCGGCCGUAGCGAAAGCGUUAAGUGCUCCGCCUGGGGAGUAUGGCCGCAAGGCUGAAACUCAAAGGAAUUGACGG
This 840-nucleotide ribosomal RNA is filed under the name uncultured bacterium. RNAcentral's name for it is "bacterial SSU rRNA". It matches the Rfam family "Bacterial small subunit ribosomal RNA", at positions 58 to 916 of the family's 1533-position model. The record is from RNAcentral.